This 485-nucleotide ribosomal RNA is filed under the name uncultured bacterium. Its description in RNAcentral is "bacterial SSU rRNA". It matches the Rfam family "Bacterial small subunit ribosomal RNA", at positions 29 to 523 of the family's 1533-position model. The record is from RNAcentral.
AUUGAACGCUGGCGGCAUGCCUUACACAUGCAAGUCGAACGAGAUCCAUGGGAGCUUGCUCCCGGAAGAUCUAGUGGCGAACGGGUGAGUAACACGUGAGAAACCUGCCCUGGAGUGGGGAAUAACUCGGGGAAACUCGAGCUAAUACCGCAUACCCUCGGAUGGUCGCAUGGCCGACCGAGGAAAGAUUUAUCGCUCUAGGAGGGUCUCGCGGCCUAUCAGCUAGUUGGUGGGGUAACGGCCUACCAAGGCAACGACGGGUAGCUGGUUUGAGAGAACGAUCAGCCACACUGGGACUGAGACACGGCCCAGACUCCUACGGGAGGCAGCAGUGGGGAAUCUUGCGCAAUGGGCGAAAGCCUGACGCAGCAACGCCGCGUGCGGGAUGACGGCCUUCGUGGUUGUAAACCGCUUUCAGCAGGGACGAAAAUGACGGUACCUGCAGAAGAAGACCCCGGCUAACUACGUGCCAGCAGCCGCGGUAA